Molecule: ribosomal RNA, 253 nt
Filed under: uncultured bacterium
Lineage: Bacteria
Description: partial 16S ribosomal RNA
Rfam family: Bacterial small subunit ribosomal RNA
Source: RNAcentral
UACGGAGGGUGCGAGCGUUGUCCGGAAUCACUGGGCGUAAAAGGCGCGUAGGCGGCCUGAUAAGUAGGGGGUGAAAUCCUGUGGCUUAACUGCAGGGCUGCCUCCUAGACUGUUAGGCUCGAGCACGGUAGAGGCAGAUGGAAUUCCCGGUGUAGCGGUGGAAUGCGUAGAGAUCGGGAAGAACAUCGGUGGCGAAGGCGGUCUGCUGGGCCGUUGCUGACGCUGAGGCGCGACAGCGUGGGGAGCAAACAGG